UCCGAGUUGACCCCGGCAGUCUCCCUAGAGUUCCCGGCCGAACCGCUGGUAACUAAGGAUAGGGGUUGCGCUCGUUGCGGGACUUAACCCAACACCUCACGACACGAGCUGACGACAGCCAUGCAGCACCUGUGUUCCCGCCAGCCGAACUGAAGGGUCCCAUCUCUGGAACCCAUACGGGACAUGUCAAGGGCUGGUAAGGUUCUGCGCGUUGCUUCGAAUUGAACCACAUGCUCCACCGCUUGUGCGGGCCCCCGUCAAUUCCUUUGAGUUUCAGUCUUGCGACCGUACUCCCCAGGCGGCGAACUUAACGCGUUAGCUUCGACACUGAGAGCCUAAUUGCUCCCAACGUCCAGUUCGCAUCGUUUAGGGCGUGGACUAC
This 382-nucleotide unclassified non-coding RNA is filed under the name uncultured Pseudomonadota bacterium. Its description in RNAcentral is "uncultured proteobacterium contains 16S-23S intergenic spacer region". Lineage: Bacteria; Pseudomonadati; Pseudomonadota. The record is from RNAcentral.